This 1289-nucleotide ribosomal RNA is filed under the name Vibrio parahaemolyticus. Its description in RNAcentral is "bacterial SSU rRNA". It matches the Rfam family "Bacterial small subunit ribosomal RNA", at positions 131 to 1415 of the family's 1533-position model. The record is from RNAcentral. Lineage: Bacteria; Pseudomonadati; Pseudomonadota; Gammaproteobacteria; Vibrionales; Vibrionaceae.
CUGAUGUGGGGGAUAACCAUUGGAAACGAUGGCUAAUACCGCAUGAUGCCUACGGGCCAAAGAGGGGGACCUUCGGGCCUCUCGCGUCAGGAUAUGCCUAGGUGGGAUUAGCUAGUUGGUGAGGUAAGGGCUCACCAAGGCGACGAUCCCUAGCUGGUCUGAGAGGAUGAUCAGCCACACUGGAACUGAGACACGGUCCAGACUCCUACGGGAGGCAGCAGUGGGGAAUAUUGCACAAUGGGCGCAAGCCUGAUGCAGCCAUGCCGCGUGUGUGAAGAAGGCCUUCGGGUUGUAAAGCACUUUCAGUCGUGAGGAAGGUGGUAGUGUUAAUAGCACUAUCAUUUGACGUUAGCGACAGAAGAAGCACCGGCUAACUCCGUGCCAGCAGCCGCGGUAAUACGGAGGGUGCGAGCGUUAAUCGGAAUUACUGGGCGUAAAGCGCAUGCAGGUGGUUUGUUAAGUCAGAUGUGAAAGCCCGGGGCUCAACCUCGGAAUUGCAUUUGAAACUGGCAGACUAGAGUACUGUAGAGGGGGGUAGAAUUUCAGGUGUAGCGGUGAAAUGCGUAGAGAUCUGAAGGAAUACCGGUGGCGAAGGCGGCCCCCUGGACAGAUACUGACACUCAGAUGCGAAAGCGUGGGGAGCAAACAGGAUUAGAUACCCUGGUAGUCCACGCCGUAAACGAUGUCUACUUGGAGGUUGUGGCCUUGAGCCGUGGCUUUCGGAGCUAACGCGUUAAGUAGACCGCCUGGGGAGUACGGUCGCAAGAUUAAAACUCAAAUGAAUUGACGGGGGCCCGCACAAGCGGUGGAGCAUGUGGUUUAAUUCGAUGCAACGCGAAGAACCUUACCUACUCUUGACAUCCAGAGAACUUUCCAGAGAUGGAUUGGUGCCUUCGGGAACUCUGAGACAGGUGCUGCAUGGCUGUCGUCAGCUCGUGUUGUGAAAUGUUGGGUUAAGUCCCGCAACGAGCGCAACCCUUAUCCUUGUUUGCCAGCGAGUAAUGUCGGGAACUCCAGGGAGACUGCCGGUGAUAAACCGGAGGAAGGUGGGGACGACGUCAAGUCAUCAUGGCCCUUACGAGUAGGGCUACACACGUGCUACAAUGGCGCAUACAGAGGGCGGCCAACUUGCGAAAGUGAGCGAAUCCCAAAAAGUGCGUCGUAGUCCGGAUUGGAGUCUGCAACUCGACUCCAUGAAGUCGGAAUCGCUAGUAAUCGUGGAUCAGAAUGCCACGGUGAAUACGUUCCCGGGCCUUGUACACACCGCCCGUCACACCAUGGGAGUGGGC